Molecule: ribosomal RNA, 433 nt
Filed under: uncultured bacterium
Lineage: Bacteria
Description: partial 16S ribosomal RNA
Rfam family: Bacterial small subunit ribosomal RNA
Source: RNAcentral
AACGAACGCUGGCGGCAUGCCUAACACAGCCAAGUCGAACGAGACCUUCUGGUCUAUUGUCUCACGGGUGCGUAACGCGUGGGAACCUGCCCUUAGGUUCGGAAUAACUCCCCGAAAGGGGUCCUAAUACCGGAUAAUGUCUUCGGACCAAAGACUUAUCGCCUUUGGAUGGGCCCGCGUUGGAUUAGCUAUUUGGUAGGGUAAAAGCCUACCAAGGCGACGAUCCAUAGCUGGUCUGAGAGGAUGAUCAGCCACACUGGGACUGAGGCACGGCCCAGACUCGUAGGGGAGGCAGCAGUGGGGAAGAUGCGAAAAUGGGCGGAAGCCUAAUCCAGCAAUGCCGCGUGAGUGAUGAAGGACUUAGGGUUGUAAAGCUCUUUUACCCGGGAUGAUAAUGACAGUGCCGGGAGAAUAAACUCCGACUAACACCGUG